CACCCCGUGCCUCCAGCAGCCACCACCUGGCUCCUCAUCUCAGUGAGGAGCCAGUGAACUCACUGGCACUGGGUCCCUCCUAUAUCAAUGGACUCUCCUGGGAUUUUCAUUUGUAGUUUGUAUCUCUCUUACUUAAUUUAACAUAGUGUAGAACUUCCCAGGCUCAGAAGUCAGGAGGAUUCCUUUCCCUUUUUAGACUCAAAAGAUACUCCAUAAUCUUUCUACACUCUAAUAUGAUGUUUUAACGGAGAAAUAGUUCAUAUCAAGGAGGAAAUUAUUCUUUUUAAUUCUACAAUGACGCAGCCCUAAGACUAUAAAAUCUUUCUGACCCACCAGGAUGCCUUUGACUGUGGUCAUCCACAGCAUUAUAGACCCGAGAGAUUAUGAAAUCAAGAAGAGUGGGCACAGUGUUGAUUUCACCAGCUUUUUAGGAUAAAAUAUGAGGGAGUGCGGUCUCAGGAGAUGGCACUUGCUGCUUUUCUGAAUGGACCUGUGUUCAGUUCUCGGUCCUCAUGUCAGACAACUCCCAAACGCUUAUAACCCCAGGUCUGGGAGAUACAAUGCCCCUUCUAACCUCCUUGGGUACCCACACAUGGAUGACAUAUACAAACACACACAUACACAGAGAAAGGCGGGGGCAAACAGACAGACACAGAGAGAAAUACAAAGUAAAGAAACAAAGUCAUAAUAAACAUGUAUGGUGUAGGGAAUGUCAGAUAACACCAUCAUCUCCCGCCCCUCUCAUCCCCCCCAUGCCCUGAGAACUAAUUUUCUAGUUAGUUCCUCAGAAACCUCAUCCCAACACCCCAUUCCUACCCCUGCCCCCUAGCUGUCUGUCUCAGAGUCUCUGAAGCAGAUCUCUCUGUUUGUAUUUCCCUUGGCUGUUUGAGAGCCCUAUCUGUCAUUUCUGAUACACAGUGAAUUUCCUAUCAGAUAUGAGAAGCACCUUCAGAAUGCAUGAUGGGCUGAGAAAUGUGAACUGAAAGCCAUUUAGAGGGGACCCAGGGACCUUCCCAGGGACUGAGAAGUGUUGCCUGUCUUGCUCAGAGGAGGGGGCAGCCCUGAGAGAAGCAGGCAGAGUUAAUUGCCUGGGUGUCGAACCACCCCAGAAGUGUAAGGAAAGGAGAGCGGCCAUAAUUAAAACUCACUCGUUGGGAUUUGACAGACUUAGCUCGUCUCACAGAAGAUGGGCAGGCCAGAGACUCAGCUUAUACUAAUAAGAUGUGCUCUGGGAGGCACAGGGCAACGUUUGCUACCCUUUCUCCACAGGGAGGCGCUACUCAACCCUCUAGCUCAACUCACCGUGCCAUUAGACUUUCUUGGAGCUUCCAAGUAGCAUUCACCGCGUCUCUGUGCAACCUUUGCCGUUUCUUGCUCAUGUUAACUGUUCUGCCUGUUGGCUGUUUUGAAGCAUAGAAUACACUCAGUAAAUAUUUGUCUAAUACUUGCAUGAACAAUGAAUGCCACCUGCUUGCUACCUGUUUGUUAAUGUCACCAAGUUCCUUUACGGCACACAGUGUCUCCUCCUCAGCUGCUGGCAUACCAGCUGGCUGGGGGGUGGGGGGGUGGGAAUGGCAGAAAAGGCUUCCAAGCUUAGAGGGCUAACCUGUCCCUCCUCUGUCAAUCACAGCUGGGUGGGCAUGGCUCUCCCCUGCCCAAUAAUGUCUCAGGAUCACCAAAGCAGUUUUUGUUCCCUAAAAAAUUCUUUGGAUUCCCAGCAUAAAGUAGGAGCUCAAUAAAAUAUAAAGACUGAUCAAAGACAGAGGGCUGGAGAGCUGGCUCAGUCAGUAAAGUGCUUUUCAUGCAAGCAUUAGGACUUGAGUUUAAUCCCCCAGGACUCAUGUAAGACAAACAAACAAAACCGAAACAAAAAGGGCCCCAAAGAUUAGGUGUGUUGUGUUCUGAUAACCCAAAUGCAAAUUCUAAGGGAUCCAACACCUUCUUCUGGCUUCAUGUGGUGAAUAUACAAACAUUUACACACACACACACACACACACACACACACACACACGCACAACUUUUGAAAACAUUAAGGUGGGCAGAGAUCAAAGAAAAUGCCCAACAUUGACCUCUGGAUGCCACACACGCUCACACACACAAACUGUACUGACUGAAGAUUGGUAUCCAAGUGACAGCUCCUCCUUUGUCACCCACUUGGGUCUAUGACAAGUUUUGAACUACAAUGCCAUGUGUGCUCUGCUUUGUUCCAAAAUAGAACUCACAAGCCUGUGUUGAUACUUUCCUAAGCAGGUAUAUCCCUCCAGGAACAAGCGAGGCCCUAGCCCUGGACUAUACUCCUUGAUGCACUGUGGACAUGGCGUAAGCAGCUGCCCUGUGCUUGCAAACUGAGCUGGGGCUCUGUGGUACCUCCAGCACAGGAUGGAAGAGCUUUGGUGUCCAGCCACUCAAACUACAGAAACUCACAAGUUCCCAGCAUUGCUUUUCUGCUGCUGUUCCCAUCGCUGAUGUUGGAAAAUACCAUCUCUGGUCCAGUUCUGCCACCAAGCAGAGAGAUGGAGACUCUCCUACUGGGAAUCUCUUGUCUCUCUGAGUCCCUCCUCUCUGCUGUCCCUAGCCUUCAUACCCAGCCUCUGGAACCCUAAAUAAAUGGGCUCAUGGAUGUGC
Mastomys coucha (southern multimammate mouse) is the source of this 2625-nucleotide long non-coding RNA. RefSeq lists it as uncharacterized. Lineage: Eukaryota; Metazoa; Chordata; Mammalia; Rodentia; Muridae. The record is from RefSeq and is a predicted model, not a curated record. The transcript is spliced from 2 exons.